This 1140-nucleotide ribosomal RNA is filed under the name Salmonella enterica subsp. enterica serovar Weltevreden. RNAcentral's name for it is "bacterial LSU rRNA". It matches the Rfam family "Bacterial large subunit ribosomal RNA", at positions 1212 to 2236 of the family's 2925-position model. Lineage: Bacteria; Pseudomonadati; Pseudomonadota; Gammaproteobacteria; Enterobacterales; Enterobacteriaceae. The record is from RNAcentral.
CGCUUAUGCGUUGUUGGGUAGGGGAGCGUUCUGUAAGCCUGUGAAGGUGGCCUGUGAGGGUUGCUGGAGGUAUCAGAAGUGCGAAUGCUGACAUAAGUAACGAUAAAGCGGGUGAAAAGCCCGCUCGCCGGAAGACCAAGGGUUCCUGUCCAACGUUAAUCGGGGCAGGGUGAGUCGACCCCUAAGGCGAGGCCGAAAGGCGUAGUCGAUGGGAAACGGGUUAAUAUUCCCGUACUUGGUGUUACUGCGAAGGGGGGACGGAGAAGGCUAUGUUGGCCGGGCGACGGUUGUCCCGGUUUAAGCGUGUAGGUGUGUGUUCCAGGUAAAUCCGGUUCACUUUAACACUGAGGCGUGAUGACGAGGCACUACGGUGCUGAAGCAACAAAUGCCCUGCUUCCAGGAAAAGCCUCUAAGCAUCAGGUAACAUCAAAUCGUACCCCAAACCGACACAGGUGGUCAGGUAGAGAAUACCAAGGCGCUUGAGAGAACUCGGGUGAAGGAACUAGGCAAAAUGGUGCCGUAACUUCGGGAGAAGGCACGCUGACAUGUAGGUGAAGCGGUUUACCCGUGGAGCUGAAAUCAGUCGAAGAUACCAGCUGGCUGCAACUGUUUAUUAAAAACACAGCACUGUGCAAACACGAAAGUGGACGUAUACGGUGUGACGCCUGCCCGGUGCCGGAAGGUUAAUUGAUGGGGUCAGCGCAAGCGAAGCUCCUGAUCGAAGCCCCGGUAAACGGCGGCCGUAACUAUAACGGUNGACGCCUGCCCGGUGCCGGAAGGUUAAUUGAUGGGGUCAGCGCAAGCGAAGCUCCUGAUCGAAGCCCCGGUAAACGGCGGCCGUAACUAUAACGGUCCUAAGGUAGCGAAAUUCCUUGUCGGGUAAGUUCCGACCUGCACGAAUGGCGUAAUGAUGGCCAGGCUGUCUCCACCCGAGACUCAGUGAAAUUGAACUCGCUGUGAAGAUGCAGUGUACCCGCGGCAAGACGGAAAGACCCCGUGAACCUUUACUAUAGCUUGACACUGAACAUUGAGCCUUGAUGUGUAGGAUAGGUGGGAGGCUUUGAAGUGUGGACGCCAGUCUGCAUGGAGCCGACCUUGAAAUACCACCCUUUAAUGUUUGAUGUUCUAACGUGGACCCGU